Molecule: ribosomal RNA, 511 nt
Filed under: Medetera dendrobaena
Lineage: Eukaryota; Metazoa; Arthropoda; Insecta; Diptera; Dolichopodidae
Description: partial 16S ribosomal RNA
Rfam family: Bacterial large subunit ribosomal RNA
Source: RNAcentral
GUCUUUUUGAAUUUAAUAUGAAGUCUGAUCUGCCCCCUGAUUUAUUAAAUGGCCGCAGUAUAUUAACUGUGCAAAGGUAGCAUAAUAAUUAGUUUUUUAAUUGGAGACUUGUAUGAAUGAUUGGACGAGAUAUAAGCUGUUUCAUAAAAAUAGAUAGAAUUUUAUUUUUUAGUUAAAAAGCUAAAAUUUUAUUGAAAGACGAGAAGACCCUAUAGAUCUUUAUAAUAAAAUAAUUAUUAGUUUAUAGGUUUUAUUUUACAAUAUUUGUUUUAUUAUUUUAUUGGGGUGAUAUUGAAACUUGAAAAACUUUUGAUUAAAUAGGUUAUACCAUUAAUAUAUGAAUAGAUGAUCCAUUUUUAUUGAUUAAAAAUUUAAGUUACCUUAGGGAUAACAGCGUAAUUAUUUUGGAGAGUUCUUAUCGAUAAAAUAGUUUGCGACCUCGAUGUUGGAUUAAGAUUAAUUCUAGGCGCAAUCGUUUAGAGAAUUAAGUCUGUUCGACUUUUAAUUUCUU